GACGAACGCUGGCGGCGUGCUUAACACAUGCAAGUCGAACGGUGAAGCAGAGCUUGCUCUGUGGAUCAGUGGCGAACGGGUGAGUAACACGUGAGCAACCUGCCCCUGACUCUGGGAUAAGCGCUGGAAACGGCGUCUAAUACUGGAUAUGAGCUGCGACCGCAUGGUCAGCAGUUGGAAAGAUUUUUCGGUCUGGGAUGGGCUCACGGCCUAUCAGCUUGUUGGUGAGGUAAUGGCUCACCAAGGCGUCGACGGGUAGCCGGCCUGAGAGGGUGACCGGCCACACUGGGACUGAGACACGGCCCAGACUCCUACGGGAGGCAGCAGUGGGGAAUAUUGCACAAUGGGCGAAAGCCUGAUGCAGCAACGCCGCGUGAGGGAUGACGGCCUUCGGGUUGUAAACCUCUUUUAGCAGGGAAGAAGCGAAAGUGACGGUACCUGCAGAAAAAGCGCCGGCUAACUACGUG
This 467-nucleotide ribosomal RNA is filed under the name uncultured bacterium. RNAcentral's name for it is "partial 16S ribosomal RNA". It matches the Rfam family "Bacterial small subunit ribosomal RNA", at positions 28 to 507 of the family's 1533-position model. The record is from RNAcentral.